RNAcentral lists this unclassified non-coding RNA (2105 nucleotides) under Priapulus caudatus. Its description in RNAcentral is "pX domain-containing protein kinase-like protein, transcript variant X6". The record is from RNAcentral. Lineage: Eukaryota; Metazoa; Priapulida; Priapulimorpha; Priapulimorphida; Priapulidae.
AAACAAGUGGGUGGUUCGUGUCCGUGUAUUUCUCAGAAGUCAACCGCAUGUCAACACUUAUUUUGGGGAUCUUUCUUUCCGAGGACCCGUUCUAUUGUUAGUUAGCUUGUGCAAUUUUAGGUUCAAAUGUAAAGAAUACGCAGCGUGUACAAGUUCAUGAUGGACAUUCUGGAGAAACCACCAGCAGGACAUGUGCUGGAUGAUACACAACCAUUGUCCUGUAUUAUCGAAGCAGCUCAAACCGUACAAGGACACACUGACUAUGUGAUCAAAGUUCAAAGAGGACCAAUUCCGGAGAAUUGCUGGCGUGUCACACGCCGCUACAGUGACUUCGCUAGCCUUAAUGCUACCCUACAAACAUACAGCAUUGACCUUUCUCUGCCAUCGAAAAAGGUGUUUGGCAACCUGGACCGGGAGUUUGUAGCUGAGCGACAGCAGGGUCUACAGUCAUACUUGGAUGCACUCGCUGGCCAUCUGAUGGUGUCGUCCAACAUUCUUGUGAAGAAGUUCCUAGAUCCAGAAAGCUAUGCAAUAAACUACCAAGAGAGCGCAUUGCAGCAUGUGUCCAUGUUCUUUCGUUCAGAACCAAAGUGGGAGAUGUCAGAAGUUCAGCAGGAUAUAGGCUGGAGAAUCAAAAAACAGUAUUUCAUGGUAAAACAUGUAGAUAGACCAAAACACAGACAACUACUGACCUGGGCAAGUUUAGGACCUGACAACUUUCUCUCUACAAAAGAUCUGGAUUCGAUAAUGCGACUUUUGCCCUCUUUGAAACAUCCAUUUAUUCUCCCGAUCACAUUCGCGAUGGCAAAUGAAAAUGGAGGCCUAGCCAUUAGGACCUACAUUUCUGAGGGAACUCUACGUGACCGUGUAUACAAGACAAGACCCAGGCAACCAUACCUGAAGAAGUAUGGAAAGCCAAAGAGUGUUACUCCGUUGCCACAGAACGAAAUUAAGACCUUUGGGAGACAGAUCUUAGAAGCACUAAAGUUCCUCCAUGACAAAGGUCUACCCUAUGGGCAUUUGCAUGCGGGAAACGUAAUAAUAGAUAAUGGAUCCUGCAAGCUACUGGAUGUGGAGAAUCACUUGCUAGGCCUGCCUGGCUUCUACCGAUCUUACAUCACUCUGCUGAAACGUGCCUCGAGCACUGAAGCCAUUGAUGUGUAUUGUUUUGGGCACGUGCUGUAUGAGAUGGCUGUGGGCACGCCACUCGCUUCAGCUACCUGUGAUAGCCUACCAAGCUGCUGCUCCCCUCAAGUUCGGUCGGUACUGGAGAUGGUGCUGACCUCUGAAGCACUGCGGACCGGUCUUCCCGAUGUUGCUACUCUCAUCGCCCAGCCUUUGUUCAGCGAUGUGCCGGUAUCAUACUUGGAGAAGCCGCAGAUGAAGGUUUCCUCGCGGCUCAGAGAAGCCAUUCAGAAAUCAAAGGAAGCCAUGGAGACACGGUUAAAAGAAGAGAAGAAAGCGAUAACGCAGCAUAAACGGAUUUCCAAGGCACAAGCAAAACACAUGUCAGAAGAAGAAAAGAAAAAACGAAAGAAGAAAGCACUGUCUGCAGCAAGGAUUGCACAGAACUCGAGUUCAGAGCAGGUGAAUGGCGGAGUGAGUGGUGACAGCUCCAGCAGCCGGUCCACGACUCCACAGAUGGCAGGUACACUCAGCCCCACACCGCAGGUUUUGACACCCCCUCUGCCUCCCCCACCGCCUGGAACCCUACCCGCUCCCAUCUCCCAGCCCUCCCAGCCCAGUGCCAUCCCUGUCAGCUCACCAACCCUGCCUUCCAGCGACCGUGGCGCCCUCUUAGGAUCUAUACAAGGCUUUAGUAAAUCUGCACUGAAAAAGGCAGAGACAGAGGACAAGAGUGCUCCGCGGAUGUAGAGGUGUUGGUGCGUCGCGUGUGGCGCAGUACCAGCCAUACGACUCUCUGUGUGGUUAGAUACCUUAAACAGACAGUAAGCGAAGACAGGCGCGUACUACCUACAUGUACGCAUACGUAAUUCAGACUUCGCCUAAGGCAUGUAGAACAUCAGGAGCACUUUGCCAACCCGUACCUGCACCAAGACACAUCGCCGCGCGCACACCGGGAGAGACCAAGAGAAAAAGACAGA